This 562-nucleotide ribosomal RNA is filed under the name Cuscuta epilinum. Its description in RNAcentral is "eukaryotic LSU rRNA". The stretch from base 160 to 315 matches the Rfam family "5.8S ribosomal RNA". The record is from RNAcentral. Lineage: Eukaryota; Viridiplantae; Streptophyta; Magnoliopsida; Solanales; Convolvulaceae.
UGCGGAAGGAUCAUUGUCGAAACCUGCCAAGCAGUUUGACUUGAGAACUUGUAAACCCCCGGCGCGGUAUGCGCCAAGGAUUACUGAACUGAGAUUGCUGCCUUGCCCCGCUCCGUUCGCGGUUCUGCGGGCAGGUGUUAGCAUCUUUAUAAACAAUAUGACUCUCGGCAACGGAUAUCUCGGCUCUCGCAUCGAUGAAGAACGUAGCGAAAUGCGAUACUUGGUGUGAAUUGCAGAAUCCCGUGAACCAUCGAGUCUUUGAACGCAAGUUGCGCCCAAGGCCAUCAGGCUUAGGGCACGUCUGCCUGGGUGUCACGUGACUUGUCGCUCCCUUCUAGAUUUUGGGAGGAGCGGAUCAUGUCCUCCCGUGCCCUACCAUUUGGUGCGGUGGGACCAAAUGCUUGAUACUGUUGAUGGACGUUCUGCGAUUGGUGGUUGUGCCUAGAGUGCAAACGUCGUUCCACGUCCAAUCGUUUGCGGAUAUCAGACCCGUUGGAGUCAAAAAGUGAUUUGGCUUACGAAAUGCGAUCCCAGGUCAGGCGGGACUACCCGCUGAGUUUAA